GAGCGGUACGCAUUAUGGGGUAGAGGCAUGUUCGAAAGGGAACGUGUAGGCUGGUUCUGUCAGAGAGGCACGAGGCAAACAAAGCUGCUCGGUCAUGACUGAGAGCGCCAUGAAUAAUCUCUGAUUGAGGCCAAUUAUCACAGCAGACAUAUCUGACAGAAACAGAGGCGGAGGAAAAAUGAGGAAGCCUUCUCUGGAGGACAAGAUCUGGGAGUUUAUCCUCAAACGCAGAAUAACAGCAUGCCGCGUCAGCAGUCUGGUCUGAAACAUGUCAUAAAUCCGAGGGGACAGAGAUGUUGUCCAACCUAUGGAGGGAAAACCGAAGGAGAAAAUGAAAGAGAAAGAGUGGACAUCAUGCUGCUCGCCAACAGACAAUUCCAGCCACUCUGUCAGACAGCAGUUGACUGCUACUCUGCUAUUCCUGUUAGAGGGCUGAACCCACUCUGCCUUGUUGGCACAGAUAUUUUUAGCCCUGGCGUUUUGCAGAGAGACCAGCACUAGAGUGAUGGGGCCAGACAGGCCUCCAACUGCAAAAGGGCACAGCGGUGGGAUGAAGAGGGCGGAGGCGGGCAAGGUCACAUGAGGCCACUGGAGACGAGAGACUGGAAGAUGAUGUGAUGAGAUCUGGUGAUUGAGUCUUGUAGAAUCUGUCUUUGAAGAACUGCAUCUUAUACCUCUAAAAAGGCUAGCAUGGUAUUUUUAGCUUAAAAUAAAAAUAUAACUUAUCGCAACUUUUAUUUCACAAUUCUGGUAUUUAUCAGAUGUAAGAAAAAUAUAUAUAUAUAACAAAAAUGUAAACUCAUAAUUCUGAGGAAAUAAAGUCAGGAUUUGCUAGACAUAAACUCACAAUUCUGACGUACCUUCUUAUAUUUUACAGUUUACUUCUCGCAAUACUUAGUUUAUAUCUAGCUAAUUCUGACUUUAUUUCCUCAGCAUUCUCAGUUUACAAUUUUUUUUACUUUAUUUUUUUUGUUACUGCCACAAAAUAACGAAGGUAAUUGCGACUUUUUAUCUCACAGCUCUGACAUUUUUUCUCGCAAUACUGAGGAAAAAAGUAGAAAAAGAUAGAAGUCAUUUGCAAGAUAUAAACUCAGAUUUCUGACUUACCUUCUCGCAUUUCAUUUUAAUUCUAAUUCUAAUCAUACAAUAAAAUAAAAAAGUAACUGACUUUUUAUCUCACAAUUCGGACUUUCUUUCAGAUGUCAGUUGCAAGUUUAUAUCUCGCAAUUCUGAAAAAGUCCAAAAAGGCUGAAUUGAGGUAAUCUUAACAGUAUUUAUAAAAAAAAUUUCCUCUACUUACCAAUGCACUAAAAUGCCUGAACUGCCUGAAAUGUACUGCAUGUCCUUGACACAGCCUUUGCGGUGUCUUCUUCUUCUUCUUGCUUUACAAGACCGAUUUUUUUUGUGUCUUGACACAUCAAUGUAUCGUCAAGAGCCGCAGGGUUAAAUUUGGUUUUGUUUAUGUAUCUUU
This is a long non-coding RNA of Carassius gibelio (silver crucian carp), 1471 nucleotides long. RefSeq lists it as uncharacterized. The transcript is spliced from 3 exons. The record is from RefSeq and is a predicted model, not a curated record. Lineage: Eukaryota; Metazoa; Chordata; Actinopteri; Cypriniformes; Cyprinidae.